This 253-nucleotide ribosomal RNA is filed under the name uncultured bacterium. RNAcentral's name for it is "partial 16S ribosomal RNA". It matches the Rfam family "Bacterial small subunit ribosomal RNA", at positions 524 to 776 of the family's 1533-position model. The record is from RNAcentral.
UACGUAGGGGGCUAGAGUUGUCCGGAUUUACUGGGCGUAAAGGGUGCGCAGGCGGCCAAGUGUGUGAGGCGUGAAAGCCUGGAGCUUAACUCCAGAAUUGCACCUCAAACUACAUGGCUAGAGCAUUGGAGAGGGUAGCGGAAUUCACGGUGUAGCAGUGAAAUGCGUAGAUAUCCGGAGGAACACCAGUGGCGAAGGCGACUUUCUGGCCUGUUCUUGACGCUGAGGCGCGAAAGCUAGGGGAGCAAACGGG